GAAGAAGUUUGAUCAACCAAGACACACUUACCACAAUUCAAGCCAUCUCAGCUCCAAGAUAGACAUCAAAUGAGCAAGUACCAUGGCAGGAGAUCAAAAAGGAGAACUCACUAAGGAUGAAAAGCUUUUACUUAAGGCUAUGAGUGCUCAGAUGCAGGAGAAGAUGAAAGCCAGCCUUGAUAAAUUCCGGCAUGAGUUGAGACAGGAACUCCAACAAGCUACUGGUCAGAGUUUUGAGUCUAGAAGCAGUGAGAGGAGACAAAGACGUGGGCAUGAAGGCCGAAACAAUCACAAAGAUAAAUUGGCUG
This is a long non-coding RNA of Brassica oleracea var. oleracea, 308 nucleotides long. RefSeq lists it as uncharacterized. NCBI's taxonomy places the organism in Eukaryota, Viridiplantae, Streptophyta, Magnoliopsida, Brassicales, Brassicaceae. The record is from RefSeq and is a predicted model, not a curated record. The transcript has 2 exons.